UUGAAAAUGGGGCACCGGGAACUGGUCAAUAAACAGAACGAGUAAAUAUAGUAUUUCGAACCAUCCCUCAAUAUGUAACAGUUCCAAACAAACGUUUAAACUAACAUAAUAAUAAUAUUGAGAAGUUUUUCCAUUCUGGGUUGUAGUCUUGAUGCUUAAGCAGGUGAUUUGGUAUAGAAGCGGACUCCGAAGGCCAAUCCCAAGAUCAGCAGGGGAACGAGGAAUUGGAGAAGCUUUAUAACAAAGUCCGAGGUCUUGUCCUGCUCAUAGUGAGGCUGCUUGGGAGGGGUGUACUUGGUCUUAGUUGGGAUAGUUGAUGUAUCGACGUCACC
Molecule: long non-coding RNA, 332 nt
Filed under: Gossypium barbadense (sea-island cotton)
Lineage: Eukaryota; Viridiplantae; Streptophyta; Magnoliopsida; Malvales; Malvaceae
Description: long non-coding RNA (GBAR_LNC020649)
Source: RNAcentral